GGAAUUUUGCGCAAUGGGCGAAAGCCUGACGCAGCAACGCCGCGUGGAGGAUGAAGGUCUUCGGAUCGUAAACUCCUGUCAGGGGGGACGAAAGCCUUAACCGGUUUGACUGUACCCCCUGAGGAAGCCACGGCUAACUCCGUGCCAGCAGCCGCGGUAAUACGGAGGUGGCAAGCGUUGUUCGGAAUUACUGGGCGUAAAGGGCGCGUAGGCGGCAUGGCAAGUCAGAUGUGAAAGCCCCGGGCUUAACUCGGGAAUUGCAUCUGAAACUGCUUUGCUUGAGUCCUGGAGGGGGUAGUGGAAUUCCCAGUGUAGCGGUGAAAUGCGUAGAUAUUGGGAGGAACACCGGUGGCGAAGGCGGCUACCUGGACAGUGACUGACGCUGAUGCGCGAAAGCUAGGGGAGCAAACGGGAUUAGA
This 419-nucleotide ribosomal RNA is filed under the name uncultured bacterium. Its description in RNAcentral is "bacterial SSU rRNA". It matches the Rfam family "Bacterial small subunit ribosomal RNA", at positions 358 to 782 of the family's 1533-position model. The record is from RNAcentral.